Small nucleolar RNA from Maniola jurtina (meadow brown), 74 nucleotides. NCBI's taxonomy places the organism in Eukaryota, Metazoa, Arthropoda, Insecta, Lepidoptera, Nymphalidae. The record is from RefSeq and is a predicted model, not a curated record.
CCAAAAUGAUGUUAAACCUUUUCCCUGAAUCACCAUGUGGGUGAAAAAAUUCGAGCUUUUUAACACUGAUUGGU